AUGUGUAAUGGUAAUGCGAUGUUACGGGAGUUCGUUCCACGGUUGUUCGUCGACAUGGCACCGAAAGAAGACGUAGAGUUUCUUGUCACGUGAGCCAAUCAACGGGCCGAACGAUCGAAGACGUCCAAUUUCGCACCGAUCAUAGGUAGAUCCCCCUCUCACGGAGCCUUCCCCUUCUACGCGCCGCGACCGAGAGAGAGAGACCUCAGUGUGCUGUGGAGCGUAGAGCAGAGCAGAUGUGGGGGACUGCGCCAUCGUGAAACGCGCAUACUGGAGCGAUCGAGGUGGGGGUGAGCUGCUGGACUCGUGCGAGAUCGAGACGCUGGCUUUGGGAUCAGGUUUACUUCGGAAGUGGCGACUUCUUCGGGACAGUUGAUAGAGGAUGCGAGUAGUUGCAGGCAUGCCUGAUGAUGGAGUAUAAAGGUAACGUAUUGGCUGCUGUAAUGAAAAAAGAUGCAUCUAAAUGUGUCUAAGUAGCGCAUUCGUUUAGUCUAUGUCAGUGUUUCUCAAGCUU
Hylaeus volcanicus is the source of this 514-nucleotide long non-coding RNA. RefSeq lists it as uncharacterized. The record is from RefSeq and is a predicted model, not a curated record. The transcript has 3 exons. Lineage: Eukaryota; Metazoa; Arthropoda; Insecta; Hymenoptera; Colletidae.